UUCAAAAGGUUGUAUCUGCGGCGAGUGUC
RNAcentral lists this non-coding RNA (29 nucleotides) under Rattus norvegicus (Norway rat). Lineage: Eukaryota; Metazoa; Chordata; Mammalia; Rodentia; Muridae. The record is from RNAcentral.